Nicotiana attenuata is the source of this 325-nucleotide long non-coding RNA. RefSeq lists it as uncharacterized. Lineage: Eukaryota; Viridiplantae; Streptophyta; Magnoliopsida; Solanales; Solanaceae. The transcript has 3 exons. The record is from RefSeq and is a predicted model, not a curated record.
ACCAGUUAUUUUCUCCUAUUGGUUGUGACAGGGUCAAUGAUGGAUACAUUGUUCUUGAGUAGUUGAGCGGCAAAGUAUAUUAUGCGCAAGUCGAGGAUGAAUAGGAUCCCUUCGCCUUUAACAGGUUCGAGCCCUGGUUAUGGAAAGAAUCUUGUUAGGGAGCGCUUCUCCCUUAAAUGGGCCUUACUCGACGCGAAUCCGGAUAUAGUCGAGCUUCAAUGCGGUACCAGACACCGGGUGAAAAAAUUUUGGGGAAUAACCAUGGAACUGAUGCUGCAACAGAUGCCAGUACCAGUCCGAAUGAUGCUCCAACGACCACUAGGGA